AUUAAAUGGAACAAUUCCAACAAAGACUGUGAGAGAAAAGAGGAAAAUGCAGUGGUUGACGUCUUCAAGUGUUGGCAUUGUGGUGAUUUUUCCCUUUUAAAAGUCCCUUCCCUUUUUAUUGUUUUCUGUGAAGUGAAAAUAAAAACCAGGACAGGAGACCACCUUACACAUCACUCUAACCAUCUUUCUCUGGCAGGACCCCAGGGCCCUUUGCCAUGGGCACAACAACUGGAGCCCUGGCAUGAAUCCUACAAGGACAGGAACUUCCCCUCCCACCACUGGCCCCAACCUGGAUCCCUGCAGGGUUUCAACAAAAUACGUGGAUCUAGCAUAUUAAAGAUCAGCAAAGCCUAUGUCUUCCAAACGCCACUCUGAACAUUACUGGUUUUCACUGGC
RNAcentral lists this long non-coding RNA (396 nucleotides) under Equus caballus (horse). RNAcentral's name for it is "lncRNA (ENSECAG00000038848.3)". The record is from RNAcentral. Lineage: Eukaryota; Metazoa; Chordata; Mammalia; Perissodactyla; Equidae.